Molecule: long non-coding RNA, 1574 nt
Filed under: Trifolium pratense (red clover)
Lineage: Eukaryota; Viridiplantae; Streptophyta; Magnoliopsida; Fabales; Fabaceae
Description: long non-coding RNA (TPRA_LNC005178)
Source: RNAcentral
AGUUAAGCAUAUUGUAGCUUCCAAGUACAGAAUAUUGUCUAAACCAGUAUCUGGGAAAAAUAUUCUGCCCAAUGAUUGGGACAAUGUAUGCCAUAUAUGUUCUUUGCAUAGUCUCAUAAAAAGAACCUGUUGACAGACUAGGCUACUGUCACGGCAUAGAUCGGUUCGCUGAGCAGUCUUCGACAAAGAAUAAGGUUAGGGAAUAUCCUCGAGGUUUAGAUUUGUGAUGGAAGUAGAGGUUGAAAUAGGACAAUCUAGAGACACCUACAGACACCAACACCACAAAAGGCGAGCAGUCUUCGACAAAGAUUAAGGUUAGGGAAUAUCCACGAGGUUUAGAUAUGUGACAGAAAUAGAGGUUGAAAUACAAUCUAGAGACACCUACAGACACCAACACCACAAAAGAAUUCGAGGGUGGAGGUUCCAAUGGUGGCCAAGGUCUUGAGUAUAUUGAUGUAUGUAUACAAGAAAACCCUUAAGAAUACUAAAGCAUCGAAGUUUUGAUUUUCUACUUUUACAAACAAAACAAAAUGACCAAAAUCAUAUGAAAAAAGUAAGAACUCAAAAUCUACCUUCAUUGAAACUAAACAAAACAAGGAUAAAAGAGCAAGAAAGCAAUCAUUUAGACAGACCAAACAAAUGAAAACAUACUUUACUUUGUGCAUGUUUGAGUCCACGUGUUGCAAAUUAAUUGGCUGACCUGUAUGUAGGUGUGGAUCCUAUCCCUAUCCAUCCAUCCGUAGAUAAUUGCACUUAUGAACCAUAGUAUAUAAUUUGCGAAAAACACGGUCAUGCUAGUGUUAUUCUAGUAGCCUUCGUGAUUAUAGCCUGCUUGACAAAAAUUAUUGACAAAGAGAAGAAGAAGGAUUCAUUUCAUGGCUUCUUCAAAGCUUCAAGCUUUUCUGAAUCAUCCAGCUGGCCCCAAAACAGGUGAGUUGCCAUUUUCGCUUGUUAUGUUCAUUGUUGGAUGUUUGAUGAGUGUAGGUAGCAUACUGUAGGCCUUUUGGAGAUCAAAAUGAUCAUUUAUAAUUUCAUGUCUAUGCACACACUUGGGUUUAUUUAUAAGAGAGAUGACUUUAACUUAAUGUUUUUGGAUAGAGAUGUGGCGUCUCCCUGUUUUAUGAUCCUAAAGCAUUUGACUUGAUGUUUCUUCCGAGCUUCCCUGGACUCCCCAACAAUGCAUAAUUGUGUAUAGGCAUGGCAAUGGGUACCCGCGGGUACGGUUUUUACCUUCCNNNNNNNNNNNNNNNNNNNNNNNNNNNNCCCGAAUCAUUGAUAAAUACCCAUUCCCCGCCCAUUACCCGACGGGGAUGAAAAAUUGAACCCAAUCCCCGUCCCAAAUGGGUUCGGGUAUACCCAAAUGGGUUCGGGUAUCCCCGAACCUUGCCCUGCCCUACUGAACCUUACCCGAACCCAAAAUUUUUCUAAACGCUAAAUUUUCCUAAACGCUGACAUACAUACAAUAUAAAAAAUUUUAAAUAAUAAAGUACAAACCAAAAUUUCAAUGCAUUAAACAUACAAAUGAAAUGAUAUUCAAAAAUAUCAAACCAAAAUUAUCAAAACCAUAAAAUAGU